Molecule: ribosomal RNA, 406 nt
Filed under: uncultured bacterium
Lineage: Bacteria
Description: partial 16S ribosomal RNA
Rfam family: Bacterial small subunit ribosomal RNA
Source: RNAcentral
AUUGAACGCUGGCGGCAUGCCUAACACAUGCAAGUCGAACGGGUAGCGGACGGGUGAGUAAUGUCUGGGAACGUGCCUGAUGGAGGGGUAUAAAUACUGGAAACGGUAGCUAAUCACGCAUACCAUCGUAUCUGCCCAGAUGGGAUGAGCUAGUAGGUGGGGUAAAGGCUCACCAAGGCGACGAUCCAUAGCUGGUCUGAGAGGAUGACCAGCCACACUGGAACUGAGACACGGCCCAGACUCCUACGGGAGGCAGCAGUGGGGAAUAUUGGACAAUGGGCGAAAGCCUGAUCCAGCCAUGCCGCGUGUAUGAAGAAGGCCUUCGGGUUGUAAAGGACUUUCAGCGGGGAAGCGGUAUCCGCAGAAGAAGCACCGGCUAACUACGUGCCAGCAGCCGCGGUAAUUC